RNAcentral lists this ribosomal RNA (902 nucleotides) under uncultured bacterium. RNAcentral describes it as "bacterial SSU rRNA". It matches the Rfam family "Bacterial small subunit ribosomal RNA", at positions 60 to 921 of the family's 1533-position model. The record is from RNAcentral.
AGUCGAGCGAGUCUGCCUUGAAGAUCGGAGUGCUUGCACUCUGUGAAACAAGAUACAGGCUAGCGGCGGACGGGUGAGUAACACGUGGGUAACCUGCCCAAGAGAUCGGGAUAACACCUGGAAACAGAUGCUAAUACCGGAUAACAACAGAUGAUGCCUAUCAACUGUUUAAAAGAUGGUUCUGCUAUCACUCUUGGAUGGACCUGCGGUGCAUUAGCUAGUUGGUAGGGUAACGGCCUACCAAGGCGAUGAUGCAUAGCCGAGUUGAGAGACUGAUCGGCCACAUUGGGACUGAGACACGGCCCAAACUCCUACGGGAGGCAGCAGUAGGGAAUCUUCCACAAUGGACGCAAGUCUGAUGGAGCAACGCCGCGUGAGUGAAGAAGGGUUUCGGCUCGUAAAGCUCUGUUGUUGGUGAAGAAGGACAGGGGUAGUAACUGACCUUUGUUUGACGGUAAUCAAUUAGAAAGUCACGGCUAACUACGUGCCAGCAGCCGCGGUAAUACGUAGGUGGCAAGCGUUGUCCGGAUUUAUUGGGCGUAAAGCGAGUGCAGGCGGCUCGAUAAGUCUGAUGUGAAAGCCUUCGGCUCAACCGGAGAAUUGCAUCAGAAACUGUCGAGCUUGAGUACAGAAGAGGAGAGUGGAACUCCAUGUGUAGCGGUGAAAUGCGUAGAUAUAUGGAAGAACACCGGUGGCGAAGGCGGCUCUCUGGUCUGUUACUGACGCUGAGGCUCGAAAGCAUGGGUAGCGAACAGGAUUAGAUACCCUGGUAGUCCAUGCCGUANACGAUGAGUGCUAAGUGUUGGGAGGUUUCCGCCUCUCAGUGCUGCAGCUAACGCAUUAAGCACUCCGCCUGGGGAGUACGACCCGCAGGGUUGAACUCAAAGGAAUUGACGGGGGCC